AGGACGAACGCUGGCGGUGUGCUUCACACAUGCAAGUCGAACGGGGUAGCAAUACCCAGUGGCGGACGGGUGAGUAACGCGUGGGAAUCUGCCUAAAAAUGGGGGAUAGCUGGCCGAAAGGCUAAUUAAUACCGCAUAGGCCUAUAAUUCGACAGUUUUAUAGGUUAAAGGAGUAAUCCGUUUUUAGAUGAGCCCGCGUCCGAUUAGCUAGUUGGUAGGGUAAAGGCCUACCAAGGCUUCGAUCGGUAGGUGGCCCGAGAGGGCGAUCACCCACAAUGGAACUGAGACACGGUCCAUACUCCUACGGGAGGCAGCAGUGGGGAAUUUUACGCAAUGGGCGAAAGCCUGACGUAGCGACACCGCGUGAACGAAGAAGCCUUUUGGGGUGUAAAGUUCUGUCGGCUGGGAAGAAAAAAUGACGGUACCAGCAAAGGAAGCAUCGGCUAACUACGUGCCAGCAGCCGC
Molecule: ribosomal RNA, 465 nt
Filed under: uncultured bacterium
Lineage: Bacteria
Description: SSU rRNA
Rfam family: Bacterial small subunit ribosomal RNA
Source: RNAcentral